RNAcentral lists this transfer RNA (76 nucleotides) under Escherichia coli. Its description in RNAcentral is "tRNA-Lys". It matches the Rfam family "tRNA". From Rfam's summary of the family: Transfer RNA (tRNA) molecules are approximately 80 nucleotides in length. Their secondary structure includes four short double-helical elements and three loops (D, anti-codon, and T loops). Lineage: Bacteria; Pseudomonadati; Pseudomonadota; Gammaproteobacteria; Enterobacterales; Enterobacteriaceae. RNAcentral also lists the same sequence under 5 other names. The record is from RNAcentral.
GGGUCGUUAGUUCAGUUGGUAGAGCAGUUGACUUUUAAUCAAUUGGUCGCAGGUUCGAAUCCUGCACGACCCACCA